RNAcentral lists this ribosomal RNA (133 nucleotides) under uncultured bacterium. RNAcentral describes it as "partial 16S ribosomal RNA". The record is from RNAcentral.
GGUUAACGUCAAUAUCUCUAGCUCUUAACCUGAAAUACUUCCUCCCUAAUGAAAGUGCUUUACAACCCUUAGGCCUUCUUCACACACGCGGCAUUGCUGGAUCAGGCUUGCGCCCAUUGUCCAAUAUUCCCCA